CACUCGGCUCUCAGUGGAAUGAGUUUGACACGUGUCCUAUGGCAUCGCUCUCAAGAACCUUAUUUGGUUCCAUCAUGCACCUUUAUUUUUUAGAAUAUAAGUACAGAUCUAGGAUAAUCUUCCUCUCCCCCAAUCCUAACCUUAACCAUUAGUGGGGGAAAUGCAAAACUGACCCAAGAUCAGCAUCUAGGCUAGGGGCAACUACACCCUACAGGCUCACAUCCCGGGGUAUAUUUUUGUUACAGGAUGCAGGUGAAAGUCAGAGACAUGAUGGUGAAUCCAGAGAAGAGGAGCAAGUGCACAGGGAACAUAAGGGGUUGGACAGAGAGAGGGAGGAAGAGAGGGAUAAACAUCGAGAGAGGAGGCACAGAGAAAGAGCUGACCCUGAGAGGGAUCCCAAAGAACAGACCAGCGCCAAGAAAUCAUCAUCCUCUGACCUCAGAGUUCACAAGGAAAAGACAGAGCCUGUUAAAGCUAAGGCAGUAGUGAUGCGAUCUGAGUCACCCUGGAGGUCUAGUCAGAAACAAUUUAGUGACACAGAGGAGCCCAUAACACUUGAUGAUGGGGUUUUUCUCAGGGCCAUAUCUGUCUGCCGUCAACCCCUCUGCUAGCAUGAGAAUAGAGCAUGCCUAUUUAUUUUGGACCAUGGCUGUUUAUGACGUGCCCAAUUCAGACCAGGACCAUUGUAUGUUGAAUUCGGGACUGUCAAAAUUGAUUGAGGCAUUUGGUAUUGAUUUCAGUGCAACUAACAUCAGAUAAGUGGAUAAACAUUGUCUAUAGACAUACAGCAUAGAGUUCUCUACUCUUUCCUGAUAUUUUUUCUUUAUUCACUGGCAAAUGUUUGCAAUGGCACCUUCUGUUGGUGGCUUCAUUGCUUUGCUUGCCUUCACUUGCUCCUGCUUGUUGUAUGGUAAUGUUCACAUGGAUACACUUUUUACUGUAAACACUGUAUAUUUGUCUAUGUACUUAACUAACAGUGGUGCGUUCAGUACGAGAGAAUGGUGUUCAAUGUUUAAUUCAAAGGAAACUGUAGUGUACUGUUUGGACUAAUGUAUCCAAACAAUUUUGCAAAGAGUUUCUAUUUGGACAAAUUCAGGUAGGUCACUCCCCGUUUAGUUCUGUUUGCUUUCGAAAAGUUUUGCAAAAUCAGUGGAAAAAUUACACCCCAGACCGACCAGUUGAAGAACAGCGUGAUUAUGAUGGCCCAGAGGGUGAUUGUGUAUGGUGUGUUGAAUAAGCUUGGUGAUUUCAAAUGGUCACACCCAUACUGACCAGGCCACACCUCACAACACCCACAAAACAAGAGCAAACGUAACUCAAAGUGAGAAUGAGCACCGUUUUGGGGAAACGUGUCAUUUAGUACAAACCGUCACGUAAAGUAGUUAACGUUGAACGAAACUGAAUGCCUACAAAAUGGUGAUCUAUUGCUCAGAUUUUUGACUUAUUAAAAUACGUAAGUCUAUG
RNAcentral lists this long non-coding RNA (1464 nucleotides) under Salmo salar (Atlantic salmon). RNAcentral's name for it is "lncRNA (ENSSSAG00000104525.1, ENSSSAG00075038234.1)". Lineage: Eukaryota; Metazoa; Chordata; Actinopteri; Salmoniformes; Salmonidae. The record is from RNAcentral.